RNAcentral lists this ribosomal RNA (1521 nucleotides) under Enterobacter ludwigii. RNAcentral describes it as "bacterial SSU rRNA". It matches the Rfam family "Bacterial small subunit ribosomal RNA". The record is from RNAcentral. Lineage: Bacteria; Pseudomonadati; Pseudomonadota; Gammaproteobacteria; Enterobacterales; Enterobacteriaceae.
UGGCGGGGGGCUAACCAUGCAGUCGAGCGGCAGCGGAGAGUAGCUUGCUACUUUGCCGGCGAGCGGCGGACGGGUGAGUAAUGUCUGGGAAACUGCCUGAUGGAGGGGGAUAACUACGGGAAACGGUUGCUAAUACCGCACAACGUCACAAGACCAGGGAGGGGGACCUUCGGGCCUCUUGCCAUCAAAUGUGCCCAAGAUGGGAUUAGGCUAGUGAUGGUGGGGUAACGGCUCACCUCGGGCAACUAUCCGUAGCUGGUCUGAAGGGAUGAUCAGCCACACUGGAACUGAGACACGGUCCAGACUCCUACGGGAGGCAGCAGUGGGGAAUAUUGCACAAUGGGCGCAAGCCUGUAUGCAUGCAUGCCGGCGUGUAUGAAGAAGGCCUUACGGGUUGUAAAGUACUUUCAGGCGGGGAGGGAGGUCGUUGAGGUUAAUAACCUCAGCGAGUUGACGUUACUCGCAGAAUAAGCACCGGCUAACUCCGUGCCAGCAGCCGCGGUAAUACGGAGGGUGCAAGCGUUAAUCGGAUUUACUGGGCGUAAAGCGCACGCAGGCGGUCUGUCAAGUCGGAUGUGAAAUCCCCGGGCUCAACCUGGGAACUGCAUUCGAAACUGGCAGGCUAGAGUCUUGUAGAGGGGGGGUAGAAUUCCAGUGUGUAGCGGUGAAAUGCGUAGAGAUCUGGAGGAAUACCGGUGGCGAACGGCGGCCCCCUGGACAAAGACUGACUCUCAUGUGCGAAAGCGUGGGGAGCACACAGAGAUUAUAUACCCUGGUAGUCUCACGCCCCGUACACUAUGUCGACUUGGAUGUUGUGCCCUUGAGGCGUGUCUUCCGGAUCUCACGCUUUAUAGUCGACCGCCUGGGAGAGUACGGCCGCAAGGUUAACACUCAUAUGAAUUGACGGGGCGCCCGCACAACGCUGUGGAGCAUGUGUUUUUAUUCUAUGCAGCGCGAAGAACCCUUACCUACUCUUGGAUAUCCAGAAGAACUUUCCAGAUAUGGCUUGGGGUGCCCUUCGGGAACUUUGAGACACGGGUGCUGCAUGGCUGUCGUCAUCUCGUGUUGUGAAAUUGUUGGGUUAAGUCCCGCAACGAGCGCAACCCUUUUAUCUUUUUGUUGCCAGCUGUUCGGCCGGGAACUUCAAAGGAGACUGCCAGUGUAUAAUCUGGAGGAAGGUGGGGAUGACCUUCAGGUCAUCAUGGCCCUUAACGAGUAGGGCUACACACGGUGCUCACAAAUGUGCGCUCAUACAAAGAUGAUGCGACCUCGCGAGAGCAAGCGGACCUCAUAAACUGCGUCGUAGUCCGGAUUGGAGUCUGCAACUCGACUCCAUGAAGUCGGAAUCGCUAGUAAUCGUAGAUCAGAAUGCUACGGUGAAUACGUUCCCGGGCCUUGUACACACCGCCCGUCACACCAUGGGAGUGGGUUGCAAAAGAAGUAGGUAGCUUAACCUUCGGGAGGGCGCUUACCACUUUGUGAUUCAUGACUGGGGUGAAGUCGAACAAAGAACCAGGCCCA